AGACUAAUCGAACCGUCUAGUAGCUGGUUCCCUCCGAAGUUUCCCUCAGGAUAGCUGGCGCCCGGGAGAGAGAGAGAGAGAGAGCWKUUGCAUCCGGUAAAGCGAAUGAUUAGAGGCCUUGGGGCGGAAAMGACCUCAACCUAUUCUCAAACUUUAAAUUCGUGCGGGGCCCGACCCGCCGGCUCGGGGCCGGGC
Molecule: ribosomal RNA, 195 nt
Filed under: Acanthaster planci (crown-of-thorns starfish)
Lineage: Eukaryota; Metazoa; Echinodermata; Asteroidea; Valvatida; Acanthasteridae
Description: partial 28S ribosomal RNA
Rfam family: Eukaryotic large subunit ribosomal RNA
Source: RNAcentral